UGGUGGAGUGAUUUGUCUGGUUAAUUCCGUUAACGAACGAGACCUCGACCUGCUAAAUAGUCUCGCGAAUGAUUUUAUUCGCAGAUGACUUCUUAGAGGGACUAUUGUGCAUUUAGCCAAUGGAAGUUCGAGGCAAUAACA
RNAcentral lists this ribosomal RNA (141 nucleotides) under uncultured eukaryote. RNAcentral's name for it is "partial 18S ribosomal RNA". It matches the Rfam family "Eukaryotic small subunit ribosomal RNA", at positions 1299 to 1458 of the family's 1831-position model. The record is from RNAcentral.